This is a small nucleolar RNA of Beta vulgaris subsp. vulgaris (sugar beet), 114 nucleotides long. It matches the Rfam family "Plant small nucleolar RNA R71". From Rfam's summary of the family: R71 is a member of the C/D box family of snoRNAs containing the C (UGAUGA) and D (CUGA) box motifs. Multiple nearly identical copies of this snoRNA have been identified in Arabidopsis, and it is thought to function as a 2'-O-ribose methylation guide for 18S ribosomal RNA. NCBI's taxonomy places the organism in Eukaryota, Viridiplantae, Streptophyta, Magnoliopsida, Caryophyllales, Amaranthaceae. The record is from Rfam.
AAACCAUGAUGAGGACAAAGAUGAUGCAAAUCCUUGAACUUCUCCCAAGCUUCAUACAAGACUCACCAGAAUCUCAUGUGAAACUAACUAUGGCAUAUCGCACAUCUGUAGUAU